This 497-nucleotide ribosomal RNA is filed under the name uncultured bacterium. Its description in RNAcentral is "partial 16S ribosomal RNA". It matches the Rfam family "Bacterial small subunit ribosomal RNA", at positions 28 to 507 of the family's 1533-position model. The record is from RNAcentral.
GAUGAACGCUGGCGGCGUGCCUAAUACAUGCAAGACGAGCGAACAGACGAGGAGCUUGCUCCUCUGACGUUAGCGGCGGACGGGUGAGUAACACGUGGAUAACCUACCUAUAAGACUGGGAUAACUUCGGGAAACCGGAGCUAAUACCGGAUAAUAUAUUGAACCGCAUGGUUCAAUAGUGAAAGACGGUUUUGCUGUCACUUAUAGAUGGAUCCGCGCCGCAUUAGCUAGUUGGUAAGGUAACGGCUUACCAAGGCAACGAUGCGUAGCCGACCUGGGAGGGUGAUCGGCCACACUGGAACUGAGACACGGUCCAGACUCCUACGGGAGGCAGCAGUAGGGAAUCUUCCGCAAAGGGCGAAAGCCUGACGGAGCAACGCCGCGUGAGUGAUGAAGGUCUUCGGAUCGUAAAACUCUGUUAUUAGGGAAGAACAAAUGUGUAAGUAACUAUGCACGUCUUGACGGUACCUAAUCAGAAAGCCACGGCUAACUACGUG